This 497-nucleotide ribosomal RNA is filed under the name uncultured bacterium. RNAcentral's name for it is "partial 16S ribosomal RNA". It matches the Rfam family "Bacterial small subunit ribosomal RNA", at positions 28 to 507 of the family's 1533-position model. The record is from RNAcentral.
GAUGAACGCUGGCGGCGUGCCUAAUACAUGCAAGUCGAGCGAACAGACGAGGAGCUUGCUCCUCUGACGUUAGCGGCGGACGGGUGAGUAACACGUGGAUAACCUACCUAUAAGACUGGGAUAACUUCGGGAAACCGGAGCUAAUACCGGAUAAUAUAUUGAACCGCAUGGUUCAAUAGUGAAAGACGGUUUUGCUGUCACUUAUAGAUGGAUCCGCGCCGCAUUAGCUAGUUGGUAAGGUAAUGGCUUACCAAGGCAACGAUGCGUAGCCGACCUGAGAGGGUGAUCGGCCACACUGGAACUGAGACACGGUCCAGACUCCUACGGGAGGCAGCAGUAGGGAAUCUUCCGCAAUGGGCGAAAGCCUGACGGAGCAACGCCGCGUGAGUGAUGAAGGUCUUCGGAUCGUAAAACUCUGCUAUUAGGGAAGAACAAAUGUGUAAGUAACUAUGCACGUCUUGACGGUACCUAAUCAGAAAGCCACGGCUAACUACGUG